Molecule: ribosomal RNA, 253 nt
Filed under: uncultured prokaryote
Description: partial 16S ribosomal RNA
Rfam family: Bacterial small subunit ribosomal RNA
Source: RNAcentral
UACGAAGGGGGCUAGCGUUAAUCGGAAUGACUGGGCGUAAAGGGUGUGUAGGCGGUUUGUUAAGUCUGAUGUGAAAUCCCCGGGCUCAACCUGGGAACUGCGUUGGAAACUGGCAAACUAGAGUACGUAAGAGGGGGGUGGAAUUCCACGUGUAGCAGUGAAAUGCGUAGAUAUCGGAAGGAACACCUGUGGCGAAAGCGGCUCACUGGACCAUUACUGACACUGAGGCACGAAAGCUAGGGGAGCAAACAGG